Molecule: unclassified non-coding RNA, 335 nt
Filed under: soil metagenome
Description: partial contains 5.8S ribosomal RNA, internal transcribed spacer 2, and large subunit ribosomal RNA
Rfam family: 5.8S ribosomal RNA (bases 1-120)
Source: RNAcentral
GAUGAAGAACGCAGCGAAAUGCGACAAGUAGUGUGAAUUGCAGAAUUCAGUGAAUCAUCGAAUCUUUGAACGCACAUUGCGCCCCUUGGUAUUCCAUGGGGCAUGCCUGUUCGAGCGUCAUUUGUACCUUCAAGCUCUGCUUGGUGUUGGGUGUUUGUCUCGCCUUGCGCGUAGACUCGCCUUAAAACAAUUGGCAGCCGGCGUAUUGAUUUCGGAGCGCAGUACAUCUCGCGCUUUGCACUCAUAACGACGACGUCCAAAAGUACUUUUUACACUCUUGACCUCGGAUCAGGUAGGGAUACCCGCUGAACUUAAGCAUAUCAAUAAGCGGAGGA